This is a long non-coding RNA of Epinephelus moara (kelp grouper), 1224 nucleotides long. RefSeq lists it as uncharacterized. The transcript has 3 exons. Lineage: Eukaryota; Metazoa; Chordata; Actinopteri; Perciformes; Serranidae. The record is from RefSeq and is a predicted model, not a curated record.
AUACCAUCUGAUGAUAUAAGGGUUAACAGACAUCUGUUGAAGUUUACUAAGAAGAAUGUGUGGCUGCACUGUGUUAAAGGCGGAGCUGAAGUCAACAAACAGUAAUCGGUUGGUUGGUCACUAGGCCUCACAUCUGAUUGGUUGACAGGUGAGGCUCAGAAGUUAAGAAAUACUGUUGCAACAUCUCAGCUGGCAGAACUGCUGACCGAUGCACCAACAGGUAAGUUUGCUCUCCUCUUAUUGUGACUUGACUGCGUUGCUGAAUGCUUGGUUCAGUUUACAUUAAUUCUCUUUAAAUUGUCUUCAUGCAGACAUGACUGAAAAAAAAAGAUUUGAGAGCGCUGAAAAAGGUGAAGCUCCUGAAAUGGAAGUCUGACCCCCAGUCUUACAGCCCUCCACCCAAGCUGAAAUUCAGCAAACCCUUCUGGCCUCCUGUACACAGCACAGGGAAAAUAGGAAAAAGAGAGCUGGCUGAGCGGGCCAAGGCCAGGAAGCAAUUUAAGGCCCUAAUCUGCCAAAACAAAGCUUCACCGUGGGACAACAUCCCACCACACAUACGUCCGGGGUGCAACAUGGACAUAAUUGUCAUUGAGCAUUUUCUACACAAUAAAAAGAUUUAUUGCCGCGCCACAUCUGGGGUCACCCUCGACCAGUGGAUGCGGCGGCAUGUACCAAAGACUACCAGGUGGAGGUGGGGAAUGGAAAAGGCAAACACCUUACCACCUGGUCAGGCACAGGUGAAAAGGCAGAGGAAGGAGAGGACCUGCACGCAAUGUGGCCAGCGGUGGAUUAGACGGACAGGCCACAGUUUUCACCGGCGAGGCCACUGACCCACAGAACAGGACUGUGGAGCAGUGGCUCACUGAGGUCAGGGGAGGGGUGACCUCAAAAGGAGUUCCACAGAAAAAGGAUGAAAAAAAUACUACUACUACUCUGCCAAGAGGGAGGAGGAGAAGAAGAAAAAGGCAAAGGAGGAGAAGCAGAGGAAGAGGGAGCAGAGGGAGGAGAAGAGGAAGAGGGAGCAGAGGGAGGAGAAGAAGAGGAAGAGGGAGCAGAGGGAGGAGAAGGAGAGGAAGAAGGGGAAAAAAUAAAAACAAACAUGUUUUGGUGUUAAUUUAAAAUGUUUGUGUUAAAGUUUAAGUUUUGGUGUUAAUUUUGGUGUUUGUACUUAAAGUUUUGCAUGUCAUUGUUUUGUGUUAAUGUUGCGUGAGUAAUAAAAAGCAU